GGUUAAGCGACUAAGCGUACACGGUGGAUGCCCUGGCAGUCAGAGGCGAUGAAGGACGUGCUAAUCUGCGAUAAGCGUCGGUAAGGUGAUAUGAACCGUUAUAACCGGCGAUUUCCGAAUGGGGAAACCCAGUGUGUUUCGACACACUAUCAUUAACUGAAUCCAUAGGUUAAUGAGGCGAACCGGGGGAACUGAAACAUCUAAGUACCCCGAGGAAAAGAAAUCAACCGAGAUUCCCCCAGUAGCGGCGAGCGAACGGGGAGCAGCCCAGAGUCUGAAUCAGUGUGUGUGUUAGUGGAAGCGUCUGGAAAGGCGCGCGAUACAGGGUGACAGCCCCGUACACAAAAAUGCACAUGCUGUGAGCUCGAUGAGUAGGGCGGGACACGUGGUAUCCUGUCUGAAUAUGGGGGGACCAUCCUCCAAGGCUAAAUACUCCUGACUGACCGAUAGUGAACCAGUACCGUGAGGGAAAGGCGAAAAGAACCCCGGCGAGGGGAGUGAAAAAGAACCUGAAACCGUGUACGUACAAGCAGUGGGAGCACGCUUAGGCGUGUGACUGCGUACCUUUUGUAUAAUGGGUCAGCGACUUAUAUUCUGUAGCAAGGUUAACCGAAUAGGGGAGCCGAAGGGAAACCGAGUCUUAACUGGGCGUUAAGUUGCAGGGUAUAGACCCGAAACCCGGUGAUCUAGCCAUGGGCAGGUUGAAGGUUGGGUAACACUAACUGGAGGACCGAACCGACUAAUGUUGAAAAAUUAGCGGAUGACUUGUGGCUGGGGGUGAAAGGCCAAUCAAACCGGGAGAUAGCUGGUUCUCCCCGAAAGCUAUUUAGGUAGCGCCUCGUGAAUUCAUCUCCGGGGGUAGAGCACUGUUUCGGCAAGGGGGUCAUCCCGACUUACCAACCCGAUGCAAACUGCGAAUACCGGAGAAUGUUAUCACGGGAGACACACGGCGGGUGCUAACGUCCGUCGUGAAGAGGGAAACAACCCAGACCGCCAGCUAAGGUCCCAAAGUCAUGGUUAAGUGGGAAACGAUGUGGGAAGGCCCAGACAGCCAGGAUGUUGGCUUAGAAGCAGCCAUCAUUUAAAGAAAGCGUAAUAGCUCACUGGUCGAGUCGGCCUGCGCGGAAGAUGUAACGGGGCUAAACCAUGCACCGAAGCUGCGGCAGCGACGCUGAUGCGUUGUUGGGUAGGGGAGCGUUCUGUAAGCCUGCGAAGGUGUGCUGUGAGGCAUGCUGGAGGUAUCAGAAGUGCGAAUGCUGACAUAAGUAACGAUAAAGCGGGUGAAAAGCCCGCUCGCCGGAAGACCAAGGGUUCCUGUCCAACGUUAAUCGGGGCAGGGUGAGUCGACCCCUAAGGCGAGGCCGAAAGGCGUAGUCGAUGGGAAACAGGUUAAUAUUCCUGUACUUGGUGUUACUGCGAAGGGGGGACGGAGAAGGCUAUGUUGGCCGGGCGACGGUUGUCCCGGUUUAAGCGUGUAGGCUGGUUUUCCAGGCAAAUCCGGAAAAUCAAGGCUGAGGCGUGAUGACGAGGCACUACGGUGCUGAAGCAACAAAUGCCCUGCUUCCAGGAAAAGCCUCUAAGCAUCAGGUAACAUCAAAUCGUACCCCAAACCGACACAGGUGGUCAGGUAGAGAAUACCAAGGCGCUUGAGAGAACUCGGGUGAAGGAACUAGGCAAAAUGGUGCCGUAACUUCGGGAGAAGGCACGCUGAUAUGUAGGUGAAGUCCCUCGCGGAUGGAGCUGAAAUCAGUCGAAGAUACCAGCUGGCUGCAACUGUUUAUUAAAAACACAGCACUGUGCAAACACGAAAGUGGACGUAUACGGUGUGACGCCUGCCCGGUGCCGGAAGGUUAAUUGAUGGGGU
This 1864-nucleotide ribosomal RNA is filed under the name Escherichia coli. RNAcentral's name for it is "partial 23S ribosomal RNA". It matches the Rfam family "Bacterial large subunit ribosomal RNA", at positions 1 to 1890 of the family's 2925-position model. Lineage: Bacteria; Pseudomonadati; Pseudomonadota; Gammaproteobacteria; Enterobacterales; Enterobacteriaceae. The record is from RNAcentral.